UUCGGAUUUAUUCAGCAUCCUGUGAAGUAACACCACAGGAAAUAUACCAUCCUAUCACAGCAUUGAAGAUAGGACUGACAAGAACGAUUAUGUGUGAAGAGCCUAUGGAAAAACCUGACCAAACUAUUCAUAAAAUAGUAGAAUUUUUACAGAACAAAAAAGCUAUUAUGAUCAAAGUUAUUAUUCAAGAGUUAAUAAAC
This 200-nucleotide long non-coding RNA is filed under the name Nicotiana benthamiana. RNAcentral's name for it is "long non-coding RNA (NBEN_LNC000681)". The record is from RNAcentral. Lineage: Eukaryota; Viridiplantae; Streptophyta; Magnoliopsida; Solanales; Solanaceae.